ACGCGAAGAACCUUACCUGGGUUCGAAAUGCAGGUGUAAGCCUCAGAGAUGAGGUCCCCUCUUCGGAGGCACCUGUAUAGGUGCUGCAUGGCUGUCGUCAGCUCGUGUCGUGAGAUGUUGGGUUAAGUCCCGCAACGAGCGCAACCCUUGUCCAUAGUUGCUAACGGGUAGUGCCGAGAACUCUAUGGAGACUGCCGGUGAUAAACCGGAGGAAGGUGGGGAUGACGUCAAGUCCUCAUGGCCUUUAUGUCCAGGGCUACACACGUGCUACAAUGGGCGGUACAAAGAGCUGCGAUCCCGCAAGGGGGAGCUAAUCUCAAAAAGCCGCUCUCAGUUCGGAUUGUUCUCUGCAACUCGAGAGCAUGAAGCUGGAAUCGCUAGUAAUCGCGGAUCAGCACGCCGCGGUGAAUACGUUCCCGGGCCUUGUA
Molecule: ribosomal RNA, 428 nt
Filed under: uncultured Acidobacterium sp.
Lineage: Bacteria; Pseudomonadati; Acidobacteriota; Terriglobia; Terriglobales; Acidobacteriaceae
Description: bacterial SSU rRNA
Rfam family: Bacterial small subunit ribosomal RNA
Source: RNAcentral